UUACAAUGCUUGUGUCAUGAUGACUAUCAGGUAAUUACAGGUAAUGUAUUUCUGUUUACCCUUUACUUUUCUUCAAUGUAAUGAUUAAAUGAACAUGUUGUUGUUUGUCUAAUUUCAAUAUUUAUUCAUUUUGGCAGAUUUUAUGCUAAUCUCUCAUUUCUCUUUUUUACUGUGCUUUGUGUAAGGUAUGGUUUUGUUAAUACAUAUAACAUAAGCCAUUAUUCUAUGGCUUAACCAUUUUCUUGUGAUCCUUUUUGGUUUCUUUUGAUCAUAUUUGAAAGGGAGAGCCAGCAGUUGAGGUUAUAAAUGAAGGCGUUGACGCUGCAGGGCAUUCAAUUGGUGUAGUUUUGAUGGCUAUGUUCAAACUUAGGAAGGUUCUCAACCGCAAGAGUGUGUUCAAACCAACCUCACUGGCUAAAGCUUCUACCCAAGCAAGUUCAGCUCAACUGAAGGCUAAGAGAUAAGUAGUCACACACUAGUUUUACUAGUUUAUCAGAUGAUAGGGAGGGAUAAUCCUCACAUUAUAUAGUUGUUGGAAACUGUCGUAUUAGUCAAUGAAUGUCAUGAAUCUAUAUUAUAAUGUAACAAUCUGAUUUAGUUCAAUUUCCUAAUCUCUGUUUAUGUCAUUAAUAAAAAGCAAUUAACUAUACUUGUUUCCGUUUUCCAUGAGUAACUACAAAUAGAAUAAGGCUCGCCACAUGUCAUCUACUUGUUUGCAUUUUCAUUUUAUGUGACCUUUGCUAGCAAUUUUGCAGGGAUAGGUUGUUUUCGAUUUACCCUUAGUUUUCUUCAUUGCAAUGAUUAAAUGUACUUGUUCUAUCUAUACUUUUCUUGUUCAGUUCAUUGUUCUGACUUUAAGGUUAUCUGUGAUCGGCUCCGUGAUAUUUACAAAUUGAUGCAGGGACACUUUUGAGUUGGGUGGCUAGUCAUGCUCAACAAGCUGCUAAAGUGUUCAAGGACCCAAAAUUCCCCCGGUCUACUCUAUUAGAAGCACAAUCUGGUCUUCAACUCCAACUGUGACUGGAUGAGUGUCAUUGACAUGGGGGCCUGCUGGAACAUUGGAAAUGGGCAGAGGGUGAAAAUUUUGUGUGAGAGUUGGUUCCCUGCCCUCGGGUCAAGCUGAGUUUGAAGUGGGGAGUCAUGCCUCCAAUUUAAUUUAUAGUUCCCCUAAUGAAUCCUCAAAUUAAUGCUGAAGUAGGCUGGUUUGACAAAUCUGACAACUCUGUCGGUUCGUUAACGUCACGCAUCAUCAGCGUUACUGCCGUGGUCAAGAUCAUAAUUGCUGACCGCCUUACCGUGAUUGUGCAGUGUGUUUCCUCCAUACUUAUAGCAACAGUUAUUAUCAUGUUUGUCAACUGGAGAAUGGGUUUGGUGGCAUAGGCUGUGCUACACAUUUUAGCCUAGUCUGCCAAAGGAUUUUUGGCAACAAAUAUAAGGACUAUGGCAUCAUUUUGUCACAAAAUACAAGUACUGAAGAAAGCCAAAACAAAAAGUACAUGAAAAAAAGUACUAUCCAGUAUGGGAUCAUCCGAGGCUUAUCCCUUUGCUUGUGGAACAUUGCACACGCCAUUGCUUUGUGGUACACUAUAAUUCUGGUCGACAGACAGGAAGCCUCUUGUGAGGAUAAGUUGAGUCCUAUGUUGGUAGAGACAUGGUGCCUUUUGGUAGAUGGAAUCAGACUUCAAAUUUUGAUAAAGACCUAUAUAUGAGAUAACUAAUCAAAAACAAAAUUGGACACCGAAUUGAAUAAGCUACAAAACUUAAUACAUGUAUGUUGACAACUAUUUCUUUUCUGUGUUUAUUUUCCUUAUCCUGCUGCAUUUGCAUAUCGAUAUCAAGUCUAGUAUGUUGUUCCUGCAAAAAGACAGUAUCAAAUGAUCCUUCUCUUGUGGGGUAAAUCCUUUCUUUUCUUUCCUUGUAAGCUGUAGACUUUUUUGAUAUUCCUUUCUUUGCUGUUGUCUAUCCAUCUCCACCUGAUUGUCAUUCUUCCCGCGCUGUGAUAUUGCCACAUGCUUACUCUCGACCAUGACUUGUCGUUUAUAUCCCUUUUGCUGAUGAGGUUCUCUGCUGAAUUCUUGUUGAUGCAUCAUUGGUGGAUCAUACUCAAUCUGUUGUGCCAUCCCUCUGAGAUGAGGCAGGGCAAGCUCCUCUUGUUGAAUUCUUGUUUCCUUGAUUUCCUGCUUCGUAGAAGUUAUGUUGAGCUCCUGCUGUUGAUCUAUUCUGAGUGAUUCUCCUGCUUUUAAUUUCAGUCCUGCCAGUUUUUGCAUUCCUAUUAAGUAAUGACCUGCUGAUUUGAUUUGUAUCUAGCACCGAGCUUCUCAAAUUCCUGUUCCUGGUGUUUCUUUAUGCCUUGUUGAAUUUCGGGUUCAUAUUGAAUUUGGUCUUGCCAUGGUUUCUUGCAAAGUGGAGCUUCUGCGCAGAUACGAAAGAUCAAGACACCAAUAUAUUAGCAACUAAAAUUGAGAUUGCUGGUUGGAUUUAUUUGACAGUAAUGUAUAAAAGAGGAAACUAUUGCUCUAGUAAUUUAUACUUGUGUAAUGUAAACUUACAAAUUUGAUGAAAUACUAGAAAAAGUAAUUCACAAAAUGAGUGAAUUUUGGUUGAUCAAUGUGAUUUCUUUGUACUAUCUACCACUGCACACAAUAGAAUAGGUUUUCAA
This is a long non-coding RNA of Vicia villosa (hairy vetch), 2659 nucleotides long. RefSeq lists it as uncharacterized. The record is from RefSeq and is a predicted model, not a curated record. NCBI's taxonomy places the organism in Eukaryota, Viridiplantae, Streptophyta, Magnoliopsida, Fabales, Fabaceae. The transcript has 2 exons.